This 219-nucleotide long non-coding RNA is filed under the name Bos taurus (domestic cattle). Its description in RNAcentral is "long non-coding RNA NONBTAT023637". Lineage: Eukaryota; Metazoa; Chordata; Mammalia; Artiodactyla; Bovidae. The record is from RNAcentral.
AGAUAAUGAUUUUGUGAUUUUUGUGACUGCAAAAAAAUGUCUUUCAGUCACAGGAAAUGUAAAUUAAUUUGUAAAAAUUUGCUUGGUAUUAGGAUGAUUGUAUGUAUGUAAAACAGUGGUUGACAUUUAAACUGUGAUCAUCUCAAAGCAUGUAAAUAUGGAAUGUACUUUUUAGAGUUAAAUGUUUUUCUUCAAAAAGAAGUUGCACCAUAGUUUUUG